CCGCCAAUCCAUUCACUACGGAUCGUCCGGCACGUACCUGCCGGUGAAGGAGCAUUAA
Non-coding RNA from Leifsonia sp. SCN 70-46, 58 nucleotides. NCBI's taxonomy places the organism in Bacteria, Bacillati, Actinomycetota, Actinomycetes, Micrococcales, Microbacteriaceae. The record is from Rfam.